RNAcentral lists this ribosomal RNA (524 nucleotides) under uncultured bacterium. Its description in RNAcentral is "bacterial SSU rRNA". It matches the Rfam family "Bacterial small subunit ribosomal RNA", at positions 778 to 1301 of the family's 1533-position model. The record is from RNAcentral.
AUAGAUACCCUGGUAGUCCACGCCGUAAACGAUGAGUGCUAAGUGUUAGAGGGUUUCCGCCCUUUAGUGCUGCAGCUAACGCAUUAAGCACUCCGCCUGGGGAGUACGGUCGCAAGACUGAAACUCAAAGGAAUUGACGGGGGCCCGCACAAGCGGUGGAGCAUGUGGUUUAAUUCGAAGCAACGCGAAGAACCUUACCAGGUCUUGACAUCCUCUGACAACUCUAGAGAUAGAGCGUUCCCCUUCGGGGGACAGAGUGACAGGUGGUGCAUGGUUGUCGUCAGCUCGUGUCGUGAGAUGUUGGGUUAAGUCCCGCAACGAGCGCAACCCUUGAUCUUAGUUGCCAGCAUUUAGUUGGGCACUCUAAGGUGACUGCCGGUGACAAACCGGAGGAAGGUGGGGAUGACGUCAAAUCAUCAUGCCCCUUAUGACCUGGGCUACACACGUGCUACAAUGGAUGGUACAAAGGGCUGCAAGCCGCGAGGUCAAGCCAAUCCCAUAAAACCAUUCUCAGUUCGGAUUGU